AGAGUUUGAUCCUGGCUCAGAAUCAACGCUGGCGGCGUGCCUAACACAUGCAAGUCGAACGCGGUUUUCUCGCAAGAGAAAACUGAGUGGCAAACGGGUGAGUAACACGUGGGUGACCUGCCUUCGAGUGGGGGAUAACGUUCCGAAAGGGACGCUAAUACCGCAUAACAUCCUGUCUUUUAAGAGAUGGACAUCAAAGU
RNAcentral lists this ribosomal RNA (200 nucleotides) under uncultured bacterium. RNAcentral's name for it is "partial 16S ribosomal RNA". It matches the Rfam family "Bacterial small subunit ribosomal RNA", at positions 8 to 207 of the family's 1533-position model. The record is from RNAcentral.